CCUACGGGAGGCAGCAGUGGGGAAUUUUGGACAAUGGGGGCAACCCUGAUCCAGCAAUGCCGCGUGAGUGAAGAAGGCCUUCGGGUCGUAAAGCUCUUUUGUCAGGGAAGAAACGGUGAAGGCUAAUAUCCUUUGCUAAUGACGGUACCUGAAGAAUAAGCACCGGCUAACUACGUGCCAGCAGCCGCGGUAAU
This 194-nucleotide ribosomal RNA is filed under the name uncultured endophytic bacterium. Its description in RNAcentral is "partial 16S ribosomal RNA". It matches the Rfam family "Bacterial small subunit ribosomal RNA", at positions 338 to 524 of the family's 1533-position model. The record is from RNAcentral.